This 45-nucleotide non-coding RNA is filed under the name Schistosoma haematobium. Lineage: Eukaryota; Metazoa; Platyhelminthes; Trematoda; Strigeidida; Schistosomatidae. The record is from RNAcentral.
AUUAAGUUGACGAGUCCUAAAUAGGACGAAAUGCACAUCUUGGAU